RNAcentral lists this transfer RNA (87 nucleotides) under Salmonella enterica subsp. enterica serovar Heidelberg str. SARA36. RNAcentral's name for it is "tRNA-Leu". It matches the Rfam family "tRNA". From Rfam's summary of the family: Transfer RNA (tRNA) molecules are approximately 80 nucleotides in length. Their secondary structure includes four short double-helical elements and three loops (D, anti-codon, and T loops). The record is from RNAcentral. Lineage: Bacteria; Pseudomonadati; Pseudomonadota; Gammaproteobacteria; Enterobacterales; Enterobacteriaceae.
GCGAAGGUGGCGGAAUUGGUAGACGCGCUAGCUUCAGGUGUUAGUGUCCUUACGGACGUGGGGGUUCAAGUCCCCCCCUCCGCACCA